This 498-nucleotide ribosomal RNA is filed under the name uncultured bacterium. Its description in RNAcentral is "bacterial SSU rRNA". It matches the Rfam family "Bacterial small subunit ribosomal RNA", at positions 501 to 1000 of the family's 1533-position model. The record is from RNAcentral.
CUACGUGCCAGCAGCCGCGGUAAUACGGAGGGUGCGAGCGUUAAUCGGAAUAACUGGGCGUAAAGGGCACGCAGGCGGUGACUUAAGUGAGGUGUGAAAGCCCCGGGCUUAACCUGGGAAUUGCAUUUCAUACUGGGUCGCUAGAGUACUUUAGGGAGGGGUAGAAUUCCACGUGUAGCGGUGAGAUGCGUAGAGAUGUGGAGGAAUACCGAAGGCGAAGGCAGCCCCUUGGGAAUGUACUGACGCUCAUGUGCGAAAGCGUGGGGAGCAAACAGGAUUAGAUACCCUGGUAGUCCACGCUGUAAACGAUGUCGAUUUGGGGGUUGAGCUUUAAGCUUGGCGCCCGUAGCUAACGUGAUAAAUCGACCGCCUGGAGAGUACGGCCGCAAGGUUAAAACUCAAAUGAAUUGACGGGGGCCCGCACAAGCGGUGGAGCAUGUGGUUUAAUUCGAUGCAACGCGAAGAACCUUACCUACUCUUGACAUCCAGAGAACAUUC